RNAcentral lists this small nuclear RNA (151 nucleotides) under Zalophus californianus (California sea lion). RNAcentral's name for it is "U4 spliceosomal RNA (ENSZCAG00015007028.1)". It matches the Rfam family "U4 spliceosomal RNA". Rfam says of the family: U4 small nuclear RNA (U4 snRNA) is a component of the major U2-dependent spliceosome. The structure of U4 snRNA from yeast and human has been reported. Lineage: Eukaryota; Metazoa; Chordata; Mammalia; Carnivora; Otariidae. The record is from RNAcentral.
GGCUUUGCGCAGUGGCAGUAUAGUAGCCAAUGAGGUUUAUCCGAGGCGCAAUUAUUGCUAAUUGAAAACUAAAGAAGUGGCUUUGAAGGGAUCAAAAUAAUCUACAACAGCUUAAAUACCUGUCCAAGCAAUGAAAAACACUCUUUAAAGG